Molecule: long non-coding RNA, 262 nt
Filed under: Trifolium pratense (red clover)
Lineage: Eukaryota; Viridiplantae; Streptophyta; Magnoliopsida; Fabales; Fabaceae
Description: long non-coding RNA (TPRA_LNC008265)
Source: RNAcentral
UGCAAACCUGUAAUAAAAGGGGGUGCGAGUAUAGUAAAAAAAACACAGGCCCAAGACCAGACAGGCCCAAAACGCCCAAAAAACAAACAAAAGUCAGGAAUCACAUCUGACCGUGUGAUUGAUCAGACAGUCCUGAUCUGGUCCGGGAAGAAAAGAAUAUAAGCCGUGUGAUGAAGAUCAGCGGCAGUAACAAAAGGGCUUAUGGCGUGCUGCGAUAGACACGCGCACACAGGAUCAGGCUGGGGUAUAAAUACCCAAAUCC